RNAcentral lists this ribosomal RNA (929 nucleotides) under uncultured archaeon. RNAcentral describes it as "bacterial SSU rRNA". It matches the Rfam family "Archaeal small subunit ribosomal RNA", at positions 1 to 922 of the family's 1478-position model. The record is from RNAcentral.
UUCCGGUUGAUCCUGCCGGAGGCUACUGCUAUUGGGGUUCGGCUAAGCCAUGCGAGUGGUGGGCGCGGUCGCAAGAUCGUGGCCCCGCAUACGGCUCAGUAACACGUAGUUAACCUACCCUCGAGUCUGGGACAACCUCGGGAAACUGAGGACAAUCCCGGAUGGGUGAGGGAUGCUGGAAUGCUUCCUCGCUUAAAGCUCCGGCGCUCGAGGAUGGGACUGCGGCCUAUCAGGUAGUUGGUGGUGUGACGGACCACCAAGCCUACGACGGGUACGGGCGAUGAGAGUCGGAGCCCGGAGAUGGGGACUGAGACAAGGCCCCAGGCCCUACGGGGCGCAGCAGGCGCGAAAACUCCGCAAUGCGCGAAAGCGUGACGGGGGAACCCCAAGUGCCGCUGUACUUUGUACGGCGGCUUUUAGGGAGCUUAAGGAGCUCCCUGAAUAAGGGCUGGGUAAGCCUGGUGCCAGCCGCCGCGGUAACACCAGCAGCCCAAGUGGUAGUCGCGUUUAUUGGGCCUAAAGCGCUCGUAGCCGGGCCGGUAAGUCCCUUGUGAAAUCGGGCGGCCUAACCGUUCGGCUUGCAAGGGAUACUGUCGGUCUUGGGGUCGGGAGAGGUCUGAGGUACUUCGGGGGUAGCGGUGAAAUGCUGUAAUCCCCGGGAGACCACCAGUGGCGAAGGCGUCCGACCAGAACGAACCCGACGGUGAGGGGCGAAAGCUUGGGGAGCGAACGGGAUUAGAUACCCCGGUAGUCCAAGCCGUAAAGCAUGCGGGUCAGGUGUAGAGCGUCCCUAGAGGGCGCUCGGUGCCGUAGGGAAGCCGUUAAGCCCGCCGCCUGGGAAGUACAGUCGCAAGGCUGAAACUUAAAGAAAUUGGAGGGGGAGCACCACAAGGGGUGGGACCUGCGGUUCAAUUGGAUUCAACGCCGGA